Molecule: unclassified non-coding RNA, 226 nt
Filed under: Hevea brasiliensis (rubber tree)
Lineage: Eukaryota; Viridiplantae; Streptophyta; Magnoliopsida; Malpighiales; Euphorbiaceae
Source: RNAcentral
UGAUUGCCCUCGAUUUCGCACAUAAGAUGCUCAUCUACAUAUGUUUGCCACGACAUCUUCUUCUGCUUCUUCUUCAAAUUCAGAGAUUUGAUGAAGCUUUUUUCUAGUUUCUGCGCUGUGCAAUGUGAGUAUGGGAUGCGCUUAGCUGAGUGUGUUCUUAUCUGCGAAGCCAGCAGACUGACAUCGCGUUAAAACGACGAGACGCGGUCGACAAACGGUGUUGUCU